AGUGAACGCUGGCGGUAGGCCUAACACAUGCAAGUCGAACGGCAGCACAGUAAGAGCUUGCUCUUACGGGUGGCGAGUGGCGGACGGGUGAGGAAUACAUCGGAAUCUACUUUUUCGUGGGUGAUAACGUAGGGAAACUUACGCUAAUACCGCAUACGACCUACGGGUGAAAGCAGGGGAUCUUCGGACCUUGCGCGAUUGAAUGAGCCGAUGUCGGAUUAGCUAGUUGGCGGGGUAAAGGCCCACCAAGGCGACGAUCCGUAGCUGGUCUGAGAGGAUGAUCAGCCACACUGGAACUGAGACACGGUCCAGACUUCUACGGGAGGCAGCAGUGGGGAAUAUUGGACAAUGGGCGCAAGCCUGAUCCAGCCAUACCGCGUGGGUGAAGAAGGCCUUCGGGUUGUAAAGCCCUUUUGUUGGGAAAGAAAAGCAGCAGGUUAAUACCCCGCUGUUCUGACGGUACCCAAAGAAAAAGCACCGGCUAACUUCGUG
This 492-nucleotide ribosomal RNA is filed under the name uncultured bacterium. RNAcentral describes it as "partial 16S ribosomal RNA". It matches the Rfam family "Bacterial small subunit ribosomal RNA", at positions 29 to 507 of the family's 1533-position model. The record is from RNAcentral.